UGCAAGUCGAGCGAACAGACGAGGAGCUUGCUCCUCUGACGUUAGCGGCGGACGGGUGAGUAACACGUGGAUAACCUACCUAUAAGACUGGGAUAACUUCGGGAAACCGGAGCUAAUACCGGAUAACAUGUUGAACCGCAUGGUUCAACAGUGAAAGACGGUCUUGCUGUCACUUAUAGAUGGAUCCGCGCCGCAUUAGCUAGUUGGUAAGGUAACGGCUUACCAAGGCAACGAUGCGUAGCCGACCUGAGAGGGUGAUCGGCCACACUGGAACUGAGACACGGUCCAGACUCCUACGGGAGGCAGCAGUAGGGAAUCUUCCGCAAUGGGCGAAAGCCUGACGGAGCAACGCCGCGUGAGUGAAGAAGGUCUUCGGAUCGUAAAACUCUGUUAUUAGGGAAGAACAAAUGUGUAAGUAACUAUGCACGUCUUGACGGUACCUAAUCAGAAAGCCACGGCUAACUACGUGCCAGCAGCCGCGGUAAUACGUAGGUGGCAAGCGUUAUCCGGAAUUAUUGGGCGUAAAGCGCGCGUAGGCGGUUUUUUAAGUCUGAUGUGAAAGCCCACGGCUCAACCGUGGAGGGUCAUUGGAAACUGGAAAACUUGAGUGCAGAAGAGGAAAGUGGAAUUCCAUGUGUAGCGGUGAAAUGCGCAGAGAUAUGGAGGAACACCAGUGGCGAAGGCGACUUUCUGGUCUGUAACUGACGCUGAUGUGCGAAAGCGUGGGGAUCAAACAGGAUUAGAUACCCUGGUAGUCCACGCCGUAAACGAUGAGUGCUAAGUGUUAGGGGGUUUCCGCCCCUUAGUGCUGCAGCUAACGCAUUAAGCACUCCGCCUGGGGAGUACGACCGCAAGGUUGAAACUCAAAGGAAUUGACGGGGA
Molecule: ribosomal RNA, 882 nt
Filed under: Staphylococcus capitis
Lineage: Bacteria; Bacillati; Bacillota; Bacilli; Caryophanales; Staphylococcaceae
Description: bacterial SSU rRNA
Rfam family: Bacterial small subunit ribosomal RNA
Source: RNAcentral